Molecule: ribosomal RNA, 504 nt
Filed under: uncultured bacterium
Lineage: Bacteria
Description: bacterial SSU rRNA
Rfam family: Bacterial small subunit ribosomal RNA
Source: RNAcentral
GGCUCAGGAUGAACGCUGGCGGCGUGCCUAAUACAUGCAAGUCGAACGCACAGCGAAAGGUGCUUGCACCUUUCAAGUGAGUGGCGAACGGGUGAGUAACACGUGGAUAACCUACCUCAAGGUUGGGGAUAACAUUUGGAAACAGAUGCUAAUACCGAAUAAAACUUAGUAUCGCAUGAUACCAGGUUAAAAGGCGCUACGGCGUCACCUAGAGAUGGAUCCGCGGUGCAUUAGUUAGUUGGUGGGGUAAAGGCUUACCAAGACAAUGAUGCAUAGCCGAGUUGAGAGACUGAUCGGCCACAUUGGGACUGAGACACGGCCCAAACUCCUACGGGAGGCUGCAGUAGGGAAUCUUCCACAAUGAGCGAAAGCCUGAUGGAGCAACGCCGCGUGUGUGAUGAAGGCUUUCGGGUCGUAAAGCACUGUUGUAUGGGAAGAACAGCUAGAGUAGGGAAUGACUUUAGUUUGACGGUACCAUACCAGAAAGGGACGGCUAAAUACGUG